UACGUAGGGGGCAAGCGUUGUCCGGAUUUAUUGGGCGUAAAGCGCGUGUAGGCGGCCAGAUAGGUCUGCUGUGAAAACUCGAGGCUCAACCUCGAGCUGUCGGCGGAAACCAUCUGGCUAGAGUCCGGAAGAGGAGAGUGGAAUUCCUGGUGUAGGGGUGAAAUCCGUAAAUAUACGAAGGAACGCCAAAAGCGAAGGCAGCUCUCUGGGUCCCUACCGACGCUGGGGUGCGAAAGCAUGGGGAGCGAACAGG
Molecule: ribosomal RNA, 253 nt
Filed under: uncultured bacterium
Lineage: Bacteria
Description: partial 16S ribosomal RNA
Rfam family: Bacterial small subunit ribosomal RNA
Source: RNAcentral